AAGAAUUAGGCUUGAAAAAAAAAUCAAAAGCAACUAUAUAUAAGCGUCCGGCUGUGCAGGCCGGGUUUGGAUAAUUCUGAUCGGUCGCCUCGUAACAGAAGGCCAUGAACCUCGUCAGGUCCGGAAGGAAGCAGCGAUAAGUGAUCUCUUCUGUGUCGUGGAUCGAUCCCGGUCACGCAAUUUUCCUUUAACCCUUCUGCCAGCCGGAUCCUU
This 213-nucleotide unclassified non-coding RNA is filed under the name Desulfobacula phenolica. RNAcentral describes it as "Bacterial large signal recognition particle RNA". The stretch from base 79 to 175 matches the Rfam family "Bacterial small signal recognition particle RNA". The record is from RNAcentral. Lineage: Bacteria; Pseudomonadati; Thermodesulfobacteriota; Desulfobacteria; Desulfobacterales; Desulfobacteraceae.